AGUGAACGCUGGCGGUAGGCCUAACACAUGCAAGUCGAACGGCAGCACAGUAAGAGCUUGCUCUUACGGGUGGCGAGUGGCGGACGGGAGGAAUACAUCGGAAUCUACUUUUUCGUGGGGGAUAACGUAGGGAAACUUACGCUAAUACCGCAUACGACCUACGGGUGAAAGCAGGGGAUCUUCGGACCUUGCGCGAUUGAAUGAGCCGAUGUCGGAUUAGCUAGUUGGCGGGGUAAAGGCCCACCAAGGCGACGAUCCGUAGCUGGUCUGAGAGGAUGAUCAGCCACACUGGAACUGAGACACGGUCCAGACUCCUACGGGAGGCAGCAGUGGGGAAUAUUGGACAAUGGGCGCAAGCCUGAUCCAGCCAUACCGCGUGGGUGAAGAAGGCCUUCGGGUUGUAAAGCCCUUUUGUUGGGAAAGAAAAGCAGCAGGUUAAUACCCCGCUGUUCUGACGGUACCCAAAGAAUAAGCACCGGCUAACUUCGUG
RNAcentral lists this ribosomal RNA (490 nucleotides) under uncultured bacterium. RNAcentral describes it as "partial 16S ribosomal RNA". It matches the Rfam family "Bacterial small subunit ribosomal RNA", at positions 29 to 507 of the family's 1533-position model. The record is from RNAcentral.